AAUAACAUAGUAUGUUAUGAAGACCCAAAUUGUUACAUUCAGCAAGGAGAGGGGAGUCUUAAUGAUCCAUGAUGGCAAGGAGUAUGUCCAUGCAGGGUAGAAGAGAAGAUCCCUUUGCUUGAAGAAAACUGGGAGCUUUGCAAUAGUUAGGCCAACUUCUGCCAGUCCAUUGAACAUGAUCAUCAGGAUCCCAAAGAACAGGGCACCCAUGUAUAUCCUUCCAUCUGUUACUGAGUCACGAUGCAUAUUGGUUCGGAGAAAGACGGUCAUCGUAAUGAGUGCCAUGAGUGUUAGCUGAACAAUAGGUAGUAAACAAAAAGGAGUUGUCAUUUAAGUUCUCAUGGUGUGGCCAACAUAAUUUGAAUCUGAAAAGCCCUGGUUCUCGAGAAUCACCUGAACUGCCUUGAAUAUGUAUACAAAGGAAUUUCUUUUCAUUAGCAAUAUCUCUCUGUCAAUAUUUGCUUUAAGUAGCUCUCUCACGCUGGCGCCAUAUUUUGAUGUUUUCAGAGCAGCAGGAUGACUCGUACUCUUGUCAAAUGGGACUGCCAACUCAUUUCGUAUAGCCUCACCAACAUGGAAAGAUUGAAAUGCUUCUGCAAACUCCUUCACGGGGACAUAUCGGUAGGUGUCAUCACCAUGUUUCCAGUAUUGUCUCUGAUCUUUCUUUGAUGUAACCUAUCACAUUUCAAUUAUUGCUCGUCAAACUUGUGCACUAAUAUACCCCAAAAAAAGAUCAGCACUACUGAAUAAUAUGAUCCUAGCAUUACAUAUUUCUGAAAUGUGUACUUCGUUAGGUAUUUCGAGAUCUUUUCUUUUUAAUUAAAUACCCUUCUAGAAAAAGCUUGAUGCAGAACUGUAAUGAAAGUACAGAACUCACUUCCUGCAGGAAGUCGGCUACACCUUUCCGCUGCGGGCAUUUGAAGCCAACUGACUCAAAGAACUCAAGAACAUAUUCACGAGGACCAUUGUAGACAACCUGACCAUCUGAGAGAAGAAUUAUAUCAUCAAACAAUUCAUAUGUCUCAGGUGCAGGUUGUA
This 1038-nucleotide long non-coding RNA is filed under the name Sorghum bicolor (sorghum). Its description in RNAcentral is "long non-coding RNA (SBIC_LNC003446)". The record is from RNAcentral. Lineage: Eukaryota; Viridiplantae; Streptophyta; Magnoliopsida; Poales; Poaceae.